Molecule: ribosomal RNA, 249 nt
Filed under: uncultured bacterium
Lineage: Bacteria
Description: partial 16S ribosomal RNA
Rfam family: Bacterial small subunit ribosomal RNA (bases 1-194)
Source: RNAcentral
UGAGGAACAUGACCUUCGGCGGGGGAUAGCCGGCCCAACGGCCGGGUAAUACCGCGUAAGACCACUUGGGGACAUCCUCGGGUGGUGAAAGCAGCAAUGCGCCGAUGAAGUGCCUCGCGGCCUAUCAGCUAGUUGGUGAGGUAACGGCUCACCAAGGCGACGACGGGUAGCUGGUCGUGAGGAGGAGUCGGCCGACGCCGACCUAGUUAGGGUACGUAGAGACGACCGGCCCGACGACUACCGUACGGA